RNAcentral lists this ribosomal RNA (497 nucleotides) under uncultured bacterium. Its description in RNAcentral is "partial 16S ribosomal RNA". It matches the Rfam family "Bacterial small subunit ribosomal RNA", at positions 28 to 507 of the family's 1533-position model. The record is from RNAcentral.
GAUGAACGCUGGCGGCGUGCCUAAUACAUGCAAGUCGAGCGAACAGACGAGGAGCUUGCUCCUCUGACGUUAGCGGCGGACGGGUGAGUAACACGUGGAUAACCUACCUAUAAGACUGGGAUAACUUCGGGAAACCGGAGCUAAUACCGGAUAAUAUAUUGAACCGCAUGGUUCAAUAGUGAAAGACGGUUUUGCUGUCACUUAUAGAUGGAUCCGCGCCGCAUUAGCUAGUUGGUAAGGUAUCGGCUUACCAAGGCAACGAUGCGUAGCCGACCUGAGAGGGUGAUAGGCCACACUGGAACUGAGACACGGUCCAGACUCCUACGGGAGGCAGCAGUAGGGAAUCUUCCGCAAUGGGCGAAAGCCUGACGGAGCAACGCCGCGUGAGUGAUGAAGGUCUUCGGAUCGUAAAACUCUGUUAUUAGGGAAGAACAAAUGUGUAAGUAACUAUGCACGUCUUGACGGUACCUAAUCAGAAAGCCACGGCUAACUACGUG